UGGCGAACGGGUGAGUAAUACAUCGGAACGUGUCCUGUAGUGGGGGAUAGCCCGGCGAAAGCCGGAUUAAUACCGCAUACGACCUAAGGGAGAAAGCGGGGGGAUCUUCGGACCUCGCGCUAUAGGGGCGGCCGAUGGCAGAUUAGCUAGUUGGUGGGGUAAAGGCCUACCAAGGCGACGAUCUGUAGCUGGUCUGAGAGGACGACCAGCCACACUGGGACUGAGACACGGCCCAGACUCCUACGGGAGGCAGCAGUGGGGAAUUUUGGACAAUGGGGGCAACCCUGAUCCAGCAAUGCCGCGUGUGUGAAGAAGGCCUUCGGGUUGUAAAGCACUUUUGUCCGGAAAGAAAACCUCGUGGCUAAUAUCCGUGAGGGAUGACGGUACCGGAAGAAUAAGCACCGGCUAACUACGUGCCAGCAGCCGCGGUAAUACGUAGGGUGCGAGCGUUAAUCGGAAUUACUGGGCGUAAAGCGUGCGCAGGCGGUCUGUUAAGACCGAUGUGAAAUCCCCGGGCUUAACCUGGGAACUGCAUUGGUGACUGGCAAGCUUUGAGUGUGGCAGAGGGGGGUAGAAUUCCACGUGUAGCAGUGAAAUGCGUAGAGAUGUGGAGGAAUACCGAUGGCGAAGGCAGCCCCCUGGGCCAACACUGACGCUCUCAUGCACGAAAGCGUGGGGAGCAAACAGGAUUAGAUACCCUGGUAGUCCACGCCCUAAACGAUGUCAACUAGUUGUUGGGGAUUCGUUUCCUUAGUAACGUAGCUAACGCGUGAAGUUGACCGCCUGGGGAGUACGGUCGCAAGAUUAAAACUCAAAGGAAUUGACGGGGACCCGCACAAGCGGUGGAUGAUGUGGAUUAAUUCGAUGCAACGCGAAAAACCUUACCUACCCUUGACAUGGUCGGAACCCUGCUGAAAGGUGGGGGUGCUCGAAAGAGAACCGGCGCACAGGUGCUGCAUGGCUGUCGCCAGCUCGUGUCGUGAGAUGUUGGGUUAAGUCCCGCAACGAGCGCAACCCUUGUCCUUAGUUGCUACGCAAGAGCACUCUAGGGAGACUGCCGGUGACAAACCGGAGGAAGGUGGGGAUGACGUCAAGUCCUCAUGGCCCUUAUGGGUAGGGCUUCACA
RNAcentral lists this ribosomal RNA (1126 nucleotides) under Burkholderia sp. SD2547. RNAcentral's name for it is "bacterial SSU rRNA". It matches the Rfam family "Bacterial small subunit ribosomal RNA", at positions 96 to 1220 of the family's 1533-position model. Lineage: Bacteria; Pseudomonadati; Pseudomonadota; Betaproteobacteria; Burkholderiales; Burkholderiaceae. The record is from RNAcentral.